RNAcentral lists this transfer RNA (62 nucleotides) under Orchesella villosa. RNAcentral describes it as "tRNA-Arg". The record is from RNAcentral. Lineage: Eukaryota; Metazoa; Arthropoda; Collembola; Entomobryomorpha; Orchesellidae.
AAUUAUGAAGCGAUAACGCGUUCAGUUUCGACCUGAAAGAAGGAAAAAGUUUCCCAUAAUUU